Molecule: ribosomal RNA, 497 nt
Filed under: uncultured bacterium
Lineage: Bacteria
Description: partial 16S ribosomal RNA
Rfam family: Bacterial small subunit ribosomal RNA
Source: RNAcentral
GAUGAACGCUGGCGGCGUGCCUAAUACAUGCAAGUCGAGCGAACAGACGAGGAGCUUGCUCCUCUGACGUUAGCGGCGGACGGGUGAUUAACACGUGGUUAACCUACCUAUCAGACUGGGAUAACUUCGGGAAACCGGAGCUAAUACCGGAUAAUAUAUUGAACCGCAUUGUUCAAUAGUGAAAGACGGUCUUGCUGUCACUUAUAGAUGGAUCCGCGCCGCAUUAGCUAGUUGGUAAGGUAACGGCUUACCAAGGCUACGAUGCAUAGCCGACCUGAGAGGGUGAUCGGCCACACUGGAACUGAGAAACGGUCCAGACUCCUACGGGAGGCAGCAGUAGGGAAUCUUCCGCAAUGGGCGAAAGCCUGACAGAGCAACGCCGCGUGAGUGAUGAAGGUCUUCGGAUCGUAAAACUCUGUUAUUAGGGAAGAACAAAUGUGUAAGUAACUGUGCACAUCUUGACGGUACCUAAUCAGAAAGCCACGGCUAACUACGUG